GACGGAGGAUGCAAGUGUUAUCCGGAAUCACUGGGCGUAAAGCGUCCGCAGGUGGCACUUCAAGUCUGUCGUCAAAGACCGGGGCUUAACCCUGGAAAGGCGAUGGAAACUGAAAGGCUAGAGAGAGGUAGGGGUAGAGGGAAUUCCCAGUGUAACGGUGAAAUGCGUAGAGAUUGGGAAGAACAUCGGUGGCGAAAGCGCUCUACUGGACCGCAUCUGACACUCAGGGACGAAAGCUAGGGGAGCGAAUGGG
Molecule: ribosomal RNA, 253 nt
Filed under: uncultured bacterium
Lineage: Bacteria
Description: partial 16S ribosomal RNA
Rfam family: Bacterial small subunit ribosomal RNA
Source: RNAcentral